UACGUAGGGUGCAAGCGUUGUCCGGAAUUAUUGGGCGUAAAGGGCUCGUAGGCGGUUUGUCGCGUCGGGAGUGAAAAUCCAGGGCUUAACUCUGGACUGGCUUCCGAUACGGGCAGACUAGAGGUAUGCAGGGGAGAACGGAAUUCCUGGUGUAGCGGUGAAAUGCGCAGAUAUCAGGAGGAACACCGGUGGUGAAGGCGGUUCUCUGGGCAUUACCUGACGCUGAGGAGCGAAAGUGUGGGGAGCGAACAGG
RNAcentral lists this ribosomal RNA (253 nucleotides) under uncultured bacterium. RNAcentral describes it as "partial 16S ribosomal RNA". It matches the Rfam family "Bacterial small subunit ribosomal RNA", at positions 524 to 776 of the family's 1533-position model. The record is from RNAcentral.